Topomyia yanbarensis is the source of this 134-nucleotide small nuclear RNA. RefSeq annotates it as U4 spliceosomal RNA. Lineage: Eukaryota; Metazoa; Arthropoda; Insecta; Diptera; Culicidae. The transcript has a single exon. The record is from RefSeq and is a predicted model, not a curated record.
AGCUUUGCGCAGUGGCGAUAUCGUAACCAAUGAGGUACAACCGAGGUGCGAUUAUUGCUAGUUGAAAACUAAUACCAAUAAUACCAAGUCCGGGCCGGAAUUAGCUUGACGUUUUUCAGAGUGAUUGCAUAACC